The sequence is a ribosomal RNA, 503 nucleotides long. It matches the Rfam family "Archaeal large subunit ribosomal RNA", at positions 1922 to 2652 of the family's 2987-position model.
UGCUUUUGGAACUUCAUCAAAGGUAGAGCCUGCCCGGUGAGACAGUAGUUAAACGGCGGCUUUAGCGUGAUUGUCCAAAGGUAGCAUACAAUGUGCCUUUUAACUGGUGGCUGGAAUGAAAGGUUGGACGUGGGAGUAGCUGUCUUCUGGGCACAUAUAGAACUUAUCUUAGAGGUGAACAGACCUUUUUUUGGCUUCGGGACGGGUAGACCCCGAUGAGCUUGAUAGCGGUGUGUAGUUUUGCGCCAAGGGCAAUUAACUUGGCGCUUUAUUGCGCCUUCUUCGGUUGGGAAAACCGGGGGGAUGAGUGAAAUCCUGCUUUUGUUUGGUUUAGAUGUGUUUGUAAAGACCUCUGGAGAGGGAAAUUUGAAAGAGAAAAGUUACCGCGGGGAUAACAGCAUUGUCUCCUCAGAGAGAAUACAUUGAAGAGGGGGUUUAUGACCUCGAUUUUGGAUCAUUUGAUUCUGGGUGAUAUAAGGGGUCACUUUGUGAGGGACUGUUCG